GAUGAACGCUGGCGGCGUGCCUAAUACAUGCAAGUCGAGCGAACAGACGAGGAGCUUGCUCCUCUGACGUUAGCGGCGGACGGGUGAGUAACACGUGGAUAACCUACCUAUAAGACUGGGAUAACUUCGGGAAACCGGAGCUAAUACCGGAUAAUAUAUUGAACCGCAUGGUUCAAUAGUGAAAGACGGUUUUGCUGUCACUUAUAGAUGGAUCCGCGCCGCAUUAGCUAGUUGGUAAGGUAACGGCUUACCAAGGCAACGAUGCGUAGCCGACCUGAGAGAGUGAUCGGCCACACUGGAACUUAGACACGGUCCAGACUCCUACGGGAGGCAGCAGUAGGGAAUCUGCCGCAAUGGGCGGAAGCCUGACGGAGCAACGCCGCGUGAGUGAUGAAGGUCUUCGGAUCGGAAAACUCUGUUAUUAGGGAAGAACAAAUGUGUAAGUAACUAUGCACGUCUUGACGGUACCUAAUCAGAAAGCCACGGCUAACUACGUG
Molecule: ribosomal RNA, 497 nt
Filed under: uncultured bacterium
Lineage: Bacteria
Description: partial 16S ribosomal RNA
Rfam family: Bacterial small subunit ribosomal RNA
Source: RNAcentral